UGAGGAAUAUUGCGCAAUGGGCGAAAGCCUGACGCAGCGACGCCGCGUGGAGGAUGAAGGUUUUCGGAUUGUAAACUCCUGUUAAGUGGGAAGAAACGACAAAAAUAUAAUACAUUUUUGUAACUGACGGUACCAUUAAAGAAAGCACCGGCUAACUUCGUGCCAGCAGCCGCGGUAAUACGAGGGGUGCAAGCGUUAUUCGGAAUUAUUGGGCGUAAAGGGUGCGUAGGCGGCGUAUUAAGUCAACUGUUAAAACCUCCAGCCUAACUGGAGAUCAGCAGUAGAUACUGGUACGCUAGAGGAUGGAAGAGAGAAGUGGAAUUCUUGGAGUAGCGGUGGAAUGCGUAGAUCUCAAGAGGAACACCAAUGGCGAAGGCAGCUUCUUGGUCCAUAUCUGACGCUGAUGCACGAAAGCGUGGGGGAGCAAACAGGAUUAGAUACCCUGGUAGUCCACGCCGUAAAACGAUGAUCACUAGAUGUUAAUUCUGCUUGCAGAAUAGUGUCGUANCUAACGCGAUAAGUG
This 523-nucleotide ribosomal RNA is filed under the name uncultured bacterium. RNAcentral's name for it is "partial 16S ribosomal RNA". It matches the Rfam family "Bacterial small subunit ribosomal RNA", at positions 355 to 866 of the family's 1533-position model. The record is from RNAcentral.